UACGUAGGGGGCAAGCGUUGUCCGGAAUCAUUGGGCGUAAAGCGCGUGUAGGCGGCUCGGUAAGUCAGCUGUGAAAGUCCAGGGCUCAACCCUGGAAUGCCGGUUGAUACUGUCGAGCUCGAGUCCGGAAGAGGUGGGUGGAAUUCCUGGCGUAGCGGUGAAAUGCGCAGAUAUCAGGAGGAACACCAAUGGCGAAGGCAGCCCACUGGGACGGUACUGACGCUGAGACGCGAAAGCGUGGGGAGCAAACAGG
This 253-nucleotide ribosomal RNA is filed under the name uncultured bacterium. RNAcentral describes it as "partial 16S ribosomal RNA". It matches the Rfam family "Bacterial small subunit ribosomal RNA", at positions 524 to 776 of the family's 1533-position model. The record is from RNAcentral.